Non-coding RNA from Mycena epipterygia, 84 nucleotides. The record is from the annotation of a GenBank genome assembly. Lineage: Eukaryota; Fungi; Basidiomycota; Agaricomycetes; Agaricales; Mycenaceae.
GUCCACUUAGCUCAGUGGUUAGAGCUGCCCGACGCACGGUUCACAGGUACGGGAGACCCUGGAUUCGAUUCCCCGGAGUGGAAA